RNAcentral lists this long non-coding RNA (270 nucleotides) under Salvia miltiorrhiza (redroot sage). Its description in RNAcentral is "long non-coding RNA (SMIL_LNC003664)". Lineage: Eukaryota; Viridiplantae; Streptophyta; Magnoliopsida; Lamiales; Lamiaceae. The record is from RNAcentral.
AGAAGACAAAGAAGGUUGGCAUUGAGACCAUUGGGGAUGUAACCAUAGAGUAAAAAAAUGAGAGACUGCAACAAUCAUAUCUUCCCCAACAACCUCCCAAGCACACUGAAAAAAGCCCCAGAGAAACCAUCAGGGCCCAGAGCAUUGUCCUUAUCCAUAAAAAAAAUAGUGUCUAUGAUCUCCACAGCAGACGGCAGAGCAAGGAGCAUAUCAGCAGAGGUCUAAGAGACCGAAGCGGGAAUAUACUGAGAAAUCCAAGAUCUGUCCACC